CCAUUAAUCAAUUCAUUGGAGAAGGCGCUGAGUUCUUGUUUCUGGCGGUCCAAUGAAAAGUUCAGUCUCCACAUCUGAAACUGGGCUACUUUCUUCACAGAGUCUAGUUUCUCCCACCACUUUCAAGCUUUGCCAUGGUUGGACGCCACACUUUUCACACAACCUUGCAUUUUCAGCUGCCAAUAGUUUCUCCUUUUCUUUUAGUCGCUCAAUCUGUUCUUUGAAAACCUGGUUCUUUCUAGCUCUAACGUUGCUAACGCUCCUCUCCAACUGUUGUUCUAUCUGCUGUAGCUCUUCAAUUGUGCAGGAACCCAAGCAUUCUCCCAGUAGUUUCCGUUUUGCAAUUUCAAGGAGCUCUAUAUUCUUCACCAUGUUCGUUGCUUCCGUCUUCAGUUGCUGC
Molecule: unclassified non-coding RNA, 400 nt
Filed under: Hevea brasiliensis (rubber tree)
Lineage: Eukaryota; Viridiplantae; Streptophyta; Magnoliopsida; Malpighiales; Euphorbiaceae
Source: RNAcentral